RNAcentral lists this ribosomal RNA (449 nucleotides) under uncultured euryarchaeote. RNAcentral describes it as "bacterial SSU rRNA". It matches the Rfam family "Archaeal small subunit ribosomal RNA", at positions 19 to 437 of the family's 1478-position model. Lineage: Archaea; Methanobacteriati; Methanobacteriota. The record is from RNAcentral.
AGAGGCCGCUGCUAUCCGGCUGGGACUAAGCCAUGCGAGUCAAGGGGUCUGUUCCUCUUUGAGGAACAGGCACCGGCAGACGGCUCAGUAACACGUGGACAACCUGCCCUCGGGAGGGGGAUAACCCUGGGAAACUGGGGCUAAACCCCCAUAGGCCAUGGUUACUGGAAUGUGCCAUGGCCGAAAGUUUGCUGUUCCCGUAAGGGGCAGCAAAGCCCGAGGAUGGGUCUGCGGCGGAUUAGGUAGUUGGUGGGGUAACGGCCCGCCAAGCCUAAGAUCCGUACGGGCCAUGAGAGUGGGAGCCCGGAGAUGGACCCUGAGACAAGGGUCCAGGCCCUACGGGGCGCAGCAGGCGCGAAACCUCCGCAAUGCGGGAAACCGCGGCGGGGCUAGCCGGAGUGCCCGUGCAUUGCGCGGGCUGUCCGGGUGUGUAAAAAGCACCCGAUAGC